RNAcentral lists this ribosomal RNA (253 nucleotides) under uncultured bacterium. Its description in RNAcentral is "partial 16S ribosomal RNA". It matches the Rfam family "Bacterial small subunit ribosomal RNA", at positions 524 to 776 of the family's 1533-position model. The record is from RNAcentral.
UACAUGUGGGGCAAGCGUUGUUCGGAAUUACUGGGCAUAAAGGGUGCGUAGGUGGUUUGCUAAGUCAGGGGUGAAAUCCCGCGGCCCAACCGUGGAACUGCCUUUGAUACUGGCGAACUUGAGUGCGUGAGGGGUAACCGGAACGAGCAGUGUAGCGGUGAAAUGCGUAGAUAUUGCUCGGAAGGCCAGAGGCGAGGGCGGGUUACUGGUACGCAACUGACACUGAGGCACGAAAGCGUGGGGAGCAAACAGG